GGGAGGGAGGAGCGGGGCCGAGGGACGAGGGGAGGGGAAGGUCUAGCGGCGGUGGUGGAGGGAGGAGGAGGGAGCAGGGACGAGGGACGAGGCGGAGCUGCCCGGCCACGUGGCGGUACUGGCGUUGCUCGGGUUAGGGUAGCGGCUUAGAGCCUUGUAGCGGUGGUGAGGGACGAGGCGCCGCCGGCUCCGCCGCAUCCUCGACGCCCUGCGCCACCGCCGGGAGCGGCACGCGGCGCGGCGGCUGCUCUUACGCGACGCCGCGGCGCGGCAGCGCGACCUGCGGCUGCAGGCGGCGGAUGUCCCGAGGGAGCGGGGGGAGCUGGGGCGGUGCGAGCUGCUCAAUCACGGAGGUUACACCAGCUGUCACUCACGUAGCCCCUAAGCCCCAGCAGAAGUUCUUCCUGUUCUGGUCCCAGAGGUUACCUGGUCCCCAAACACGUCCGGUAGUGGUACCAUGCGGCUCCACGACGCCCACAGUUCCUCCUGCAGUCAAGAUCGACGAAUCUAAUGAGCUCCGUACUAAACUAAGCCAUGUUCCCCAAGCAGUACGGUCCGAGGAGAAAAGACGACGAAGGUACGUUGCCACCACCGUCGACACAAAAAGCCGUAGCCGAUGUUUUUGUCGGUACCACUGGAGGAAAGGAAGGAGACGAGGUAAAUUAGUGCUAGUCAAAUACCUCCACAACGAAUAAACCAGUCUAAAGGAAUGAACGAAGUCCGUAUUCUUAUUCGAAUAUUCUUGGCUCAUCUUACGAGAUACAAGUGCUCAGUGGAAAGAACAUACUUGCUCGUAGAGUAAAAUUGAUCGACCUCUUGUUUUUCGUACCAUGAUGGAGUUAAACACAAUAGUAAGAUUUAUUGAUAGGAAAAGAACUUACCAGACAAGUAUUAUAUAAACGGGGUCAAAAAAACUAAGAAGAGAUAACUAAGUACAAUUUCCCGCUGGCUCCUUCCGUACAACAGACAAAAGAACUUCCGGCAAGACAAACAAGGGUCGGGAUUGAUGCCAACAGGUCGAUCAAGCCGUACAACAAGUAUAGUGAUACCAUCAGGUUGCUCAAACCGUACAACAUUCAAACCGUACAAGUACUGCCCUCGUCCACGGUCAAACACU
RNAcentral lists this ribosomal RNA (1117 nucleotides) under Triticum aestivum (bread wheat). RNAcentral describes it as "partial small subunit ribosomal RNA". Lineage: Eukaryota; Viridiplantae; Streptophyta; Magnoliopsida; Poales; Poaceae. The record is from RNAcentral.